Molecule: ribosomal RNA, 497 nt
Filed under: uncultured bacterium
Lineage: Bacteria
Description: partial 16S ribosomal RNA
Rfam family: Bacterial small subunit ribosomal RNA
Source: RNAcentral
GAUGAACGCUGGCGGCGUGCCUAAUACAUGCAAGUCGAGCGAACGGACGAGAAGCUUGCUUCUCUGAUGUUAGCGGCGGACGGGUGAGUAACACGUGGAUAACCUACCUAUAAGACUGGGAUAACUUCGGGAAACCGGAGCUAAUACCGGAUAAUAUUUUGAACCGCAUGGUUCAAAAGUGAAAGACGGUCUUGCUGUCACUUAUAGAUGGAUCCGCGCUGCAUUAGCUAGUUGGUAAGGUAACGGCUUACCAAGGCAACGAUGCAUAGCCGACCUGAGAGGAUGAUCGGCCACACUGGAACUGAGACACGGUCCAGACUCCUACGGGAGGCAGCAGUAGGGAAUCUUCCGCAAUGGGCGAAAGCCUGACGGAGCAACGCCGCGUGAGUGAUGAAGGUCUUCGGAUCGCAAAACUCUGUUAUUAGGGAAGAACAUAUGUGUAAGUAACUGUGCACAUCUUGACGGUACCUAAUCAGAAAGCCACGGCUAACUACGUG